AGAGGGAAGGCAACGUAAAGACCCAAAGAGAGACCACCAUCUACAAGUCACAUCUACAAGUCAAGGAGAGAGGCCCAGGACAGAUUCUUUCCUCACAGCCCUCGGGAGGAAGCAACCCUGCCAACCCCCUGACUUCUAGCCUUCUUCAGAUUCUCAGCUUCUAGAACUGUGAGACGAUGCAUUUCUGCCAUUUAAGCCACCCGUUUGUGGUUGGCAUUGUUAUGGUGGCCCUAGCAAACUAAGACAACUCUAAAUUCUGCAAACAGUUCUCUAAACAAGGCUGAUAUAAUUAAAUUGCUACUUCUUAAGAUUUUCCUCUCUCCUUUAAAAAUGAAAGACCUGUAAAUAUAGACUGCCUAAAUGCUUCAUCAGUAAGAACUGGAGUCAUCUUACACAACUUCUUCAAGUAACAAUUAUGUGGAAAAAGUGUGCUAAUUUCAGUAAAAAGACAUCCUGCUGUUGUAAACUAGAAGGAAAGACGUUCCAGUGUUAAUCUCCAAGUGUAGCACCGUUAAGCGGCAGAAAAAAAAAGACUAAACGCUACCUACGCUCAAUGUUCCACACCUCUUAAGCCAGUAAUCCUGUAUCUGGUGUCGGGCAGCAAAGAAAAUAAAAUAUACCUCGUCUGUGCUCCAUUUGGAAACUUUACUGGCAGGGAUUCCUGCGACAGUUGGAAGAAGUUUGCUUUGCUGCUCCCAGCGCAAGGGCAGACAUGGAAUUGGGGA
This 725-nucleotide long non-coding RNA is filed under the name Homo sapiens (human). RNAcentral's name for it is "novel transcript, antisense to L3MBTL3". Lineage: Eukaryota; Metazoa; Chordata; Mammalia; Primates; Hominidae. The record is from RNAcentral.